UUAACAAUCAACGUUACUCUUCGCGUUUGGUGAACGCAUACGUAUUAAUUUUUUUUCGAUAAUGUUAGAUGCGCGAACGAAAUAGGUUUUCGAAGAUCGAGUUACUUCACUAACGUGAGUAUAAUGUCCUUUUAAUGAAUCACGCAGAGUACAGCAGCGAUGUGUCCAUAAGUAAUCAUUAUUUAUACGAACGCCCUUAUCUCAAACACGUUGUUUUUCAUAAAUGAUUUACAAUCAGAAGCGGACUCUGAGAAAAAUGACCCACGACAUUAUAGAAUAACCGACACGGAUGAACAAACAAUUGAAGUGCGAGACUGUACUCAUAAUAUCUACGGUUACCUUUGGAAUCUAUUCAUUUUUUUUUUCAGAAAAAUUUUGUAUUGUUAUUUUGUCAAUGUAUCAUUCUACGGUAUAAUAGAAGUCUUAAUUGUUGCGAGUUCUCUCAAAAAUCCACCAGCAACGAGAGACGAUGUGUGAAUGAGCUGCGUGGCGUCCAUGAUCAUCUGCGCAACAGGAUAGCAGUUCGUGAUCGACUGAUGACAACACAUAAAUCGGGAGAUUAGGUUAAACCUAUGACACCGAAAUACAUAUUAAAUACGUUUUUCGUUGGACGGGAAGGUAUGCUCGAAUAUAGAUUUCCACCUUCCCCUCGGAAGUUGAAAAAGACGAUUUUCUCUUAUAAACUGUUACACAGUAAAUAGUAAUUAUUUCUGAUAACCUUUCAGCUGUAUAAAAUUCCAAAUGUCUAAUAUAAUAAAAACAUUUAUAGCUAUAAUUUGGAAUCAAAAAACCAUUAGACUUUUUGAUUGAGUAGUGUACAUCAAUAUAAUGUUAAAUUUUUAUUCAGAUCAUUUUUUCCACAUAGGAUUUGAACGAUAAAAUAUUACGAUUAUCGAAAAUUAAAUCCAUAAACAAUUUCCAUACAUUAUAUAAAUCAUAGAAGAUGUUCUUGUAACCAGAAAUUAUAGACUAGCUGUCAUAAUUGUUGUUAAGGAAUUGAAAAAAUUAAAUUCAUGUAAUUAAUGUAAAUAAUGUAAA
This is a long non-coding RNA of Sipha flava (yellow sugarcane aphid), 1038 nucleotides long. RefSeq lists it as uncharacterized. The record is from RefSeq and is a predicted model, not a curated record. The transcript has 3 exons. Lineage: Eukaryota; Metazoa; Arthropoda; Insecta; Hemiptera; Aphididae.